This 490-nucleotide ribosomal RNA is filed under the name uncultured bacterium. RNAcentral's name for it is "partial 16S ribosomal RNA". It matches the Rfam family "Bacterial small subunit ribosomal RNA", at positions 30 to 507 of the family's 1533-position model. The record is from RNAcentral.
AUUGAACGCUGGCGGCAUGCUUUACACAUGCAAGUCGGACGGCAGCACAGAGAAGCUUGCUUCUUGGGUGGCGAGUGGCGAACGGGUGAGUAAUAUAUCGGAACGUACCGAGUAAUGGGGGAUAACUAAUCGAAAGAUUAGCUAAUACCGCAUAUUCUCUGAGGAGGAAAGCAGGGGACCUUCGGGCCUUGCGUUAUUCGAGCGGCCGAUAUCUGAUUAGCUAGUUGGGGGGGUAAAGGCCUACCAAGGCGACGAGCAGUAGCGGGUCUGAGAGGAUGAUCCGCGACACUGGGACUGAGACACGGCCCAGACUCCUACGGGAGGCAGCAGUGGGGAAUGGUGGACAAUGGGCGCAAGCCUUAUCCAGCCAUGCCGCGUGUCUGAAGAAGGCCUUCGGGUUGUAAAGGACUUUUGUCAGGGAAGAAAAGGCUGUUGCUAAUAUCGACAGCUGAUGACGGUACCUGAAGAAUAAGCACCGGCUAACUACGUG